Molecule: long non-coding RNA, 531 nt
Organism: Pogoniulus pusillus (Red-fronted tinkerbird)
Lineage: Eukaryota; Metazoa; Chordata; Aves; Piciformes; Lybiidae
Exons: 3
Source: RefSeq, a predicted model, not a curated record
GGAAGGACGAGGAAAUACCGGCUGCAGCCGCCGUUUCCCGCCGGCCGUGAGCAGCUCGGCGGUUGUCUGGGGCCUGCAGAGGUUGUUCCGCUGUGUCCUGUCAGCCCCGUGAGCCAAGGCUGACGGAGCAAGGGCAGUCUGCGAGAGCCGGGGCGUUAGUUCAAGGGCGAGGGGGCUGCAAAAGUCAUGGGCUUCUGCCCGGGCCGGUAGGUCCUGCGCUUAGGUAUUUGUGGUUUUGCCGGAGCUCUCCGGGUAGGCGCAGUCUUUGCGCACCGCCUCUGGAGGCGAGGAAGUGCCUUUUGCUCCUGAGGCCAGCAGAGGAGAAACAGCGGUCUGAGGUGUUAGAAGGAAAGACUACUUCUAGUGACAAGAGGACUUGAUUAGACUAACGCUGGUCUCUUUUAAGGCAUUAGUUCUUGGCUAGUACGUAAAACACUGUAUGAACAGUGUGUAUAGCAUCUAUUGGAAUCAUUCAUUGUAUCACAGCAAAAUAUUUUUAUCUACUUUUUCUAUUAAAUGCCUUUAAAACCA